Molecule: ribosomal RNA, 158 nt
Filed under: Bacillus subtilis
Lineage: Bacteria; Bacillati; Bacillota; Bacilli; Caryophanales; Bacillaceae
Description: partial 16S ribosomal RNA
Rfam family: Bacterial small subunit ribosomal RNA
Source: RNAcentral
UAAGCCAAUCCCACAAAUCUGUUCUCAGUUCGGAUCGCAGUCUGCAACUCGACUGCGUGAAGCUGGAAUCGCUAGUAAUCGCGGAUCAGCAUGCCGCGGUGAAUACGUUCCCGGGCCUUGUACACACCGCCCGUCACACCACGAGAGUUUGUAACACC